GCAGGUCCAUCACCUCUAUACCACCCACCUGGUAGUUUGGUGGAUGGGACUACCAGCUCUCUGUAACCUAAAGGACAACUAGCAGGUCCAUCACCUCUAUACCACCGACCUGGUAGUUUGGUGGAUGGGACUACCAGCUCUCUGUAACCUAAAGGACAACUAGUCCAUCACCUCUAUACCACCGACCUGGUAGUUUGGUGGAUGGGACUACCAGCUCUCUGUAACCUAAAGGACAACUAGUCCAUCCCCUCUAUACCACCCACCUGGUAGUUUGGUGGAUGGGACUACCAGCUCUCUGUAACCUAAAGGACAACUAGUCCACAACCUCAGCAGGCUGUUCAUCAUGUGACCUUUAUAGUAACAGGCUGACCUGUCCCUCUCCAGAGGUCAACCGGGGGGUCAACUUCUCCCUAAGUAGGGGUCAGGAUUUACUCUCCCAUCCCCAUGUGAGGUAAUAUAGUAUUUAAGAGGGGAAACUGUGUCGUGAGUGAAUGCACACACAGGCACACAGUUGAUACCUACGUGUUGCUUUCCUUCUCUCAUCUCCUCUCCUUUACUGUAUCUCUCCUUCUCUCAUCUUCUCUCCUUCACCAUAUCUCUCCUUCUCUCAUCUUCUCCUUCACCAUAUCUCUCCUUCCCUCAUCUUCUCUCCACCAUAUCUCUCAUCUCCUCUCCUUCACUGUAUCUUUCCUACUCUCAUCUCCUGUCUUUCUCUCGUCUCCUCUCUUUCACACUCCUCUAUUUCCUUCUCUCUCUCUCUCCUCAAUCUCUGUCUCUCUCUUUCUCUCACUCUCUCUCUUUCUCUCAGUCUCUUUCUGUCUCUCUCCCUCUCCCUAUCUCUCUCAUGUUAGCCUCUUUAAUGGAGUUGUUAAACAUUAAGUAUUUAGAGUGCUACAGUAAGUGAGUCAAGCAUGGAGAGGCCUAAUCUUUGCGUUCCAGUCUAGGGGGCUUGAGUACCUUGUAAUCUAUCUGAUCGCUCUUAGACACACACACACACACACACACACACACACACACACACACACACACACCUGUUACAUGUCCCUUAUCUAGAUUCGAUACGUGAUAUGUAUUAUAUAAUGCCAAUGACUGGAACGAACUGCAAAAAUCACUAAAGCUGGAGCCUCUUAUCUCCCUCACUAGCUUUAAGUACCAGCUGUUGUAGCAGCUCACAGAUCACUGCACCUGUACAUAGCCCAUCUGUAAAUAGUCCAUCCAACUACCUCAUCCCCAUUCUGUAUUUAUUUAUCUAUCUAGCGACCCAUCUCGACAACAUCCGGGGAAAUUUCAGAGCGCCUUAUUUAAAAUACCAAAUAAUUCAUAAUAAACAUUCAUUAAAAAAAAUACAAGUGUUAAUCACUUAUCUUUGAAGAUCUUCAUAUGGUUGCAGUCACAAGAGUCCCAGCUACACAAUAAAUGUUUGUAUAGUUCAAUGAAGUCCCUCUUUAUAUGCCAAAAACCUAGUUUUGUUGGCGCGUUUUCAGUAAUCCACUGGCUCCAAGGCGGUCAAAACAUACAGACGAAUACAUCCUAAUAGUACCGGUAAAGUUUGUCGAAACACGCUAAACGAUGUUUCUAAAUAAUCCUCAGGUUGUCAAUUGUCUAAAUAAUCGAUAAUAUUUCAACAGGACAAUAGAGUAUUCAAUAGAAAGGAAAAACAACGAAGAGUGCGCACUCGGUCACGCCCGCAAACCAGCACUGCAUGAUUCUGUCCCCUCAGUGACAGUAUGUUAAUAUCCAAACCGGAAGCCAUCGAUUACAGCCAACAUCCGCAUCGAGCUAAUGUUCCGCUUUCAAGGAACGGGACAAUUAUCAGGACGCCUAUAAGAUAUCCUUAUUCCUGUCCCUGACCGAGUUUGUAAUACCAAUAUGUUCCAAGCAGACCACCAUAGUCCCUGUGCUCAAGAACACCGAGGUAACAAUCCUAAAUGACUACCGACCCGUAGCAGUCACAUCUGUGGCCAUGAAGUGUUUUGAAAGUUUGGUCAUGGCUCACAUCAACACCUUUAUCCCAGAAGCCCUAGACCCCACUCCAAUUUGCCUACCGCCCCACCAGAUCCGCAGAUGAUACAAUCUCUAUUGCACUCCACACUACCCUUUCCCACCUGGACAAGGAGGAACACCUAUGUGAGAAUGCUAUUCAUUGACUACAGCUCAGCGUUCAACACCAAAGUGCACCUCAAAGCUCAUCACCAAGCUAAGGACCCUGGGACUACACACCUCCCUCUGCAACUGGAUCCUGGACUUCCUGACUGGCCGUCCCCAGGUCUUAAGGGUAGGUAACAACACAUCUGCCACGCUGAUCCUCAACACGGGAGCCCCUCAGGGGUGCGUGCUCAGUCCCCUCCUGUACUCCCUGCUCACCCAUGACUACAUGGCCAAGCACGACUCCAACACCAACAUUAAGUUUGCUGUUGACAUACAGUGGUAGGCCUGAUCACUGACAACAACAAAACAGCCUAUAGGGAGGAGUUCAGAGACCUGACAGUGUGGUGCUAGGAUCACAACCUCUUCCUCAAAGUGAUCAAGACAAAGGAGAUGAUCAUGGGCAACAGGAAAAGGAGGGCCGAGCAUUCUCAUCAACAGGGCUGUAGUGGAGCAGGUUGAGAGCGUCAAGUUCCUAGGUGUCCAUAUCACCAACAAACUAUCAUGAACCAAACACACCAAGACAGUCGUGAAGAGGGCAUGACAUAGAGAAGACACUGGACUACAUAGAGAAGACACACUGGACCACAUAGAGAAGACACACUGGACCACAUAGAGAAGACACACUGGACUACAUAGAGAAGACACACUGGACUACAUAGAGAAGACACUGGAAUACUGAGAGAAGACACUGGACUACAUAGAGAAGACACUGGACUACAUAAAGAAGACACUGGACUACAUAGAGAAGACACUUGACUACAUAGAGAAGACACACUAGACUACCUAGAGAAGACACUGGACUACAUAGAGAAGACACACUAGACUACAUAGAGAAGACACUGGACUACUUAGAGAAGACACUGGACUACUUAGAGAAGACACUGGACUACAUAGAGAAGACACUGGACUACAUAGAGAAGACACUGGACUACAUAGAGAAGACACACUAGACUACCUAGAGAAGACACUGGACUACUUAGAGAAGACACUGGACUACAUAGA
Oncorhynchus tshawytscha (Chinook salmon) is the source of this 3150-nucleotide long non-coding RNA. The record is from Ensembl. Lineage: Eukaryota; Metazoa; Chordata; Actinopteri; Salmoniformes; Salmonidae.